AGCCACACUGGGACUGAGACACUGCCCAGACUCCUACGGGAGGCUGCAGUCGAGGAUCUUGGACAAUGGGGGAAACCCUGAUCCAGCGACGCUGCGUGGAGGAUGAAGGCCUUCGGGUUGUAAACUCCUGUCAUUCGGGAAAAAUGGCCUCGGGAUUAACACUCUCGAGGAGUGAUUGUACCGGAAGAGGAAGCCACGGCUAACUCUGUGCCAGCAGCCGCGGUAAUACAGAGGUGGCAAGCGUUGUUCGGAUUUACUGGGCGUAAAGGGUGCGUAGGUGGUUGCUUAAGUCGAGUGUGAAAUCCCAAGGCUCAACCUUGGAAUUGCGUUCGAAACUGGGUGACUUGAGUACAGGAGGGGAGAGCGGAAUUCUUGGUGUAGCGGUGAAAUGCGUUGAUAUCAAGAAGAACACCGGUGGCGAAGGCGGCUCUCUGGAAUGUUACUGACACUGAGGCACGAAAGCUGGGGGAGCAAACAGGAUUAGAUACCCUGGUAGUCCCAGCUGUAAACGGUGCGCACUUGGUGUGGGAGGAUUUGACCCCUUCCGUGCCGGAGCUAACGCGUUAAGUGCGCCGCCUGGGGAGUACGGUCGCAAGACUAAAACUCAAAGAAAUUGACGGGGGCCCGCACAAGCGGAGGAGCAUGUGGCUCAAUUCGAUGCAACGCGAAGAACCUUACCAGGGCUUGACAUGCAGCUGCACGUCCCGUGAAAGCGGGAUUCUUUCGAGGGUGCUGCACAGGUGCUGCAUGGCUGUCGUCAGUUCGUGCCGUGAGGUGUUGGGUUAAGUCCCGCAACGAACGCAACCCCUGUGUUUAGUUGCUACCAGGUCAUGCUGGGCACUCUAAACAGACUGCCUGUACAAAACAGGAGGAAGGUGGGGACGACGUCAAGUCAGUAUGGCCCUUACGCCCUGGGCUGCACACGUGCUACAAUGGUCGGUACAAAGGGACGCAAGACCGCGAGGUGGAGCAAAUCCCAAAAACCGGCCCCAGUUCGGAUUGAAGGCUGCAACUCGCCUUCAUGAAGUUGGAUUCGCUAGUAAUGGCGCAUCAGCUACGGCGCCGUGAAUACGUUCCCGGGCCUUGUACACACCGCCCGUCACAUCAUGAAAGCCGUCUGCACCCAAAGUCGCUAAUCCAACCCGCAAGGGGGGUAGGUGCCUAAGGUGUGGGUGGUGAUUGGGAUGAAGUCGUAACAAGGUA
RNAcentral lists this ribosomal RNA (1203 nucleotides) under metagenome. RNAcentral's name for it is "bacterial SSU rRNA". It matches the Rfam family "Bacterial small subunit ribosomal RNA", at positions 306 to 1498 of the family's 1533-position model. The record is from RNAcentral.